Molecule: long non-coding RNA, 221 nt
Filed under: Homo sapiens (human)
Lineage: Eukaryota; Metazoa; Chordata; Mammalia; Primates; Hominidae
Description: non-protein coding lnc-ARFIP1-1:1
Source: RNAcentral
GAGACAGACAGAUGGAGAGAGGGGUAGUGUUGAGGCAUCAGACACAUCUCAUCUCUAAACCUUUCCCUGCAGAUCACCAUCUGAGUCAUGACUUCCCGUCGUUUGUCUUCAGUGAUCUGGUUGGUGCAAACGUAUGAGGUGACAAUACAGAACAAACAGCAGGAGAAAAUAGACGUGCUCAAAACUGGGUGAUUGAUUUGAAAACAACAGAGAAAGAACUA